RNAcentral lists this transfer RNA (87 nucleotides) under Zetaproteobacteria bacterium. Its description in RNAcentral is "tRNA-Leu". It matches the Rfam family "tRNA". From Rfam's summary of the family: Transfer RNA (tRNA) molecules are approximately 80 nucleotides in length. The record is from RNAcentral. Lineage: Bacteria; Pseudomonadati; Pseudomonadota; Candidatius Mariprofundia. RNAcentral also lists the same sequence under 1 other name.
GCCGGGGUGGUGGAAUUGGUAGACACGCUGGAUUCAAAAUCCAGUGCCUUUGCGGGCGUGCCGGUUCGACUCCGGCCCUCGGUACCA